AUCCCGGCGCUGCCCACCCACCACACCGCUAGCGCCUCUGAACCUCGCCAGGCACGUCCGGUUCUGCGGCCCCCACUCCGCCCCCGCCUGCCGGGAGCCGCGCAGUUACAAAGUGCCGGGAGCCGUGCAGGGCCAGUGAACCCCUCGCUGAGACUCAGUUUGCUGCCAUCACAAGUGCUCUGAGAAUCCUGGAGAGGGAGGAUAUUGGAGACAAACGGGACUGCUGCCCGCCUUUUAGGCGACCGUUGGAGGCUGCUCUGUGCCGGACACAGGCAGGGAAAAUGUCAGCCCCGCGAGGGAAAUGGCAAAGGGAAGAUGACAGCAGACGAGAGAAACAACAGCCCCACCUGACACAGCCAGGACCCUGCGGAGAGGCGGCAGGAGCCCCCACUUCCUCGGGACUCAGCCUCUGCACCCCGGGACUGCCCAUGGCCCCUCUGAGGGCUCUCCUCACUCCUUCCUCCCUCAUUAGGGAAGAGGCCAGUACCCAGCAGCCAUGGCCCAAGCGCAGGUGGUCUGUUCUGUGCACCCAGCAUCCCCCUAGGGUCUAAACCAGCUCCCACAGCUCAGAAGUCAGCGGAGCAGAGUCCCCAGGAAACCAGGGUCAGGGAUGGAGGCUGCUGAGGAGCGGGUCUGGGAGGUGGAGGCCAGAUACAAGAAAACCACAGUACCAGUAAAUGACAAAGGCUGGAUCUUAACCCAAGUCCUCCGACUCUGAAGGCCAUACCCAACAGCUUGACAGCAAAGUGUUUGAAAACGAAGAGCAGGAAUUCCGCGGUUCCUGCCCGGCCUCGC
RNAcentral lists this long non-coding RNA (795 nucleotides) under Homo sapiens (human). RNAcentral's name for it is "HSALNT0379307". Lineage: Eukaryota; Metazoa; Chordata; Mammalia; Primates; Hominidae. The record is from RNAcentral.